GCACGGAGUUAGCCGAAUCCUUAUUCUUACGAUACCGUCAAGCUCCUACACGCAGGAGUGUUUCUUCUCGUACAAAAGCAGUUUACACACCAUAGAUGCUUCAUCCUGCACGCGGCAUGGCUGGAUCAGGCUUGCGCCCAUUGUCCAAUAUUCCUCA
Molecule: ribosomal RNA, 157 nt
Filed under: uncultured bacterium
Lineage: Bacteria
Description: partial 16S ribosomal RNA
Source: RNAcentral